This is a long non-coding RNA of Serinus canaria (Common canary), 4380 nucleotides long. RefSeq lists it as uncharacterized. NCBI's taxonomy places the organism in Eukaryota, Metazoa, Chordata, Aves, Passeriformes, Fringillidae. The transcript has 5 exons. The record is from RefSeq and is a predicted model, not a curated record.
UGCCCUUUAAAAUCAGCAACUCCGAAAAGGAAAGCGCCUUUUGCAAUUUGAAGGAUCCUGCGUGUUCCUGCUCCAGCUUUGAUGUCUUCUGGAUUAUAGAAAAACCACAGGUCUGAGGCGGGGCCACCAGCCCGGCCCGGCAGAACACGGCACAUCCGGCCUGCGGAGGGAUGCAUGCAGGUCCCCAGCAGCGCUCUGCUUCAGCCGUGCCCUGCAUUCCGGCUUCAGCCGUGCCCUGCAUUCCGGCUUCAGCCGUGCCCUGCAUUCCGGCUUCAGCCGUGGCCGGCAUUUCGGCCCGGCGGGGGCUGGGGCUGUGAGGCUGAGGAGCUGCGAGGCUGAGGAGCUGCGGCCCGCGGGGCCUCGGCUGGGCGGGUGCAGCCCCGCCCCCGCAGCCGCAUUGUGUGGGAGGAGCGGUUCGGCGACGGAGUGGAGUUGCCAGCAAGGCUUGCAGCUGUGGCUCAUUGGCUGCUGGCUGAGCUCCCCUCACUGGUUUGAGCACUGCAGUACCUUCCCUGCAUGCCCUUCUGUUGCAAAGACAAAGUUCUCCUUGAAGGGAGUGUGGUGCCUCUCCUCCAGCACGCAUAACGGUGUGGGCGGAGCAAGCUGCUUCCAGAGGCUGACCUGACCUGGAAGAGUGCUGCUGCGCCUUCACAGCGACAGCGUGUGGUGUCUCUGGUGGCGGGCAUGGGGCAGUGCCUCUCUCCCACCGACUGACUUCGGAUCCUCUCACAGGCCAGCCCACACCUUCCACAGAAGCUGCAGGGCUCUGAGGAGCAAGAUCACUGAAAUGAACUGUUUGUUCUUGAAAGCUGCUGGCAGAGGAUGUUUGCAGAUGAUCUCUGGAGUGGUGGGAAAAGAUGUGUUCAGGAAGCAGGACCUGGGCAGUGCUAUAAUGUCCUUUCUGCACAUCAGAAGGUCCAAACGAGCCCACCCUCGGUGCAAGAAGGGCAGCAGAGAGGCAGGCAUGUGACCAGAGGACAGAGACUGCACUCUCCUGCUGUGAGUAAAGUAACAAAAUCACGUACAACAUCUCACGCCUUCCACCCAGAGCAGGUCCCCACAUGCCAUUUUCUAGCCUUUGAACUCAUUAGUCUUGAUGCAGUUUCACAUGCACAAACCCAGAACUUUGUUACUAAACUGAAAUCAUGUGCACAGGCUGUUCCUAAGAAAUACCAGUCAUCUACACAAGUAAAAUUCUGAAUUGCUAACUGCACGCUGGCCUAAGGAUAAACCUGAAUGGAGGUUUCAGGAAAAGGUGUUUGUUCCUGGCACAGCUCAGUAGCUUCUAGCCACCAUCUGCAAAUCUCUUAGAUAUUCCAUAAAAUGGCAGAUUACUAUCCUUUAACUCUUUCACCAGGGCUGCAGGGCAGAGGUGCUGGAGAUUCACAUGAGCUAAAUUAAGUUUUCUGUUUGACUGAGGCUGUGGAUUUGGUUUUGGUUUAUUUUGAGAUUAGUUCUUGCACUUUAGGAUUUAAAACUGUGCUGUGGCAGGUGUUAGCUCUGACUGUAGCUAAAAAAACCCAGUUUCUCCAUAUUACAGGGAAAUCAGUUUGAAUAUUUUAAUUUUCUGAUUUUAAUUUACACAGGUUUUUACUAGGAGGUGCAGCACUGUGCAAGACACUGUGCUGGACUACACAAAUAUAUAUUAAGCCUUGGUACUACCAUGACGAAUGUACAGAGUAGAAUUAUCAGAAUUAGUAAUGAAUCACAGACACUUAAAAAUAAAGAAACACUUCUGCAGUUUAAUUCUUGCCUAACAUUCCAGGAUUCAAAUCAAAAAUGAAACAGAUUCUGGGUGUCUAAGUCCAAGUGAGGAACCAAAAAAUCUGAGCUUGGUGCCAGCUAGACCCCUGUGCUACAGAGUGAUUGUGAACACUUGUUUGACUGGUACAGACAAAGCCUGUGUAUAAUCAGGGAAGACACAGUGCCACAAUCAAACAUCCCUGAUCCUUAUCUCAACCCCUUCACCUUAAUUCCAUAAUCAGCACUUAGAUCACAGAGAGGUUGGAACUAUUAUCCAGGCCUCUCCUUUAGCAUUACAGUAUCUCAAACAAGUCCCUGCCUGUAAGGAUUUGCUUUCUUCAAAACUUUCACCCAGUCCCAUGGUUAACUUGACUUCAGUCAGCAAACUGGCAACAAAAUUCUGAAAUUUAGAAAUAGCUUAAGCUCAGCCCAUUUCUGCCUUCAGAUCAGUUGGUUUUACAAUUCCCAAGCAUCAUCAUUCUGCAUCCAGCUGGGAUCCAUUUGACUACAGUUGCUGCUGGUGGGGGGGGCAGGAACCAACCACCCUCGUUGCUGAGUCUUAUCCUGUAAAUUUAGCAGAAAGAAGCUAGUGCACGCCAUCUCGUGGCCCUGCACAGCUAUUUCCCGGGAACGAAGGGAGCUCCGGUUGCGACGAGGUUUGAUGUGGACAGGAUUUAAAAGGUGACUUUCAGAGGCUCAGACACAGCCCCACCUUCUGACCCCCCCCCCCACCCCAGCUAAGAAACGUUCACCACUAGUGCUUUGUCCACACUCCUGCCUUGACCUUGCAGCCUGAGCAGCUAUUUCCUGGAGCAGCAGCGGAGCAUCAAACUGCAAAAGGCACAAAAGGCACUUCUUCAGAACAUGCUCACAUGGCUGUUGAGCUAACCCUGUCCUCACAACACAUGCAGGGUGCCAGAGAACACAGUCCCCAGAGCAGCUUUGUGGAGCAGGAUAUUACCAUAUUCAUUUUAGAGUAGGUCAUACACAUGUAAAUAAUUGUUAAUUACAUGCAAGGUUGGGGAUGUUCAUGGUACAUCUGUUUUCAUCUGCUGUCAGGAUUUGUUAAAGAACUCCACAUGUCAAUGCUUUAAAUAAAGCUAAUGUGCCUGUUCCUAACUGUUCAUUAAAAGCUGAAUAUAUGAACUUAGAAAAUAAGGUUACAUCAGCUGUCAGUCCUUUGCUGUAUCUUAAGCUCCUAUACCUCCUUACUCUCUCUUUUUGGUGGGAAAAUCAAGGCAUUAAGAGACCCUUGCCAGAAGUGAUUAAGGUAAAAUUUUAUCACAUUGAGUUGAGGGAAUUAGAUAAAGAGGGACAGGGUACAACAGUAUGACUUCAAGGCCUGUGUUUUCAUUUUAAGUAGUAAGUGUUCACAAUGUUUAUGACUUUUUAGCUAAGCGAUUACAGCUUAAAUCUGCACCACCAUCAUCUCCAAAUCCGAAGUCAGAUUUUCUUCAGCAGAAUUGCUGAUGGUAACACUGCCUUACUUCCACUGCUCUCGUAGCUGUCAAAAGGCUGGAUAUAUAGUCAGCAACAGGGGCCUUAAAAUAGCUAGCAGAAAUGUUAACUUCAGACUAAGCAUCUUCUUUUGUCUGCUAUGACAGACAAGUGCACAAAACCUAUGAAAGUUUGCAGCUUGCUGUUGCAAAGCGUAGAAUCAGGCCAGAGAACACUGUGCCAUACUGCAAGAACACAAACAUCUACCCAAGGACUCUAGUUAAAAACAUCUGAUUACAAUCAGCAACUGCUCUAAAUUUGGUUUGUGAUAAACAUAUUUUUACUCUUCUUGCGUUGGAAGUGUGUUGGAACAAAGUUGCAGGAAAGACUGUUAGACCUGUGAGGCUCAAUGAAACUCGAUACCAGCAUGAUACCAGCUUGAUGCUUCCUCUGUUAGAGGAAAGAAAAGAGGGAACAUCCUUCUUCUCAUGUCAAGGUUUAAUUCUGAGGUAUACGACACUGGAUUUACAAAGGUAAAUAAAAAUACAUUCUGAGAAACAGCAAGUGCCCUAUUUAACAAGGCAGAGGGCUUUCACACUCCAAGCAGCUGAGAAAAGAAACUGCUUACAGUAUGAAAAGUAUUUGGGGUCUGUCUUUGACAUGGGUUUUUGCCAUAACAGAUGAUGAGACAUGUGCAGCAGUGGGGCAGAGGAAAGACAAAUACUUAGGUGAUAAAGACAGGACAACAGGUAUUAGAUAAGGCUUCUGCUUGAACAAAUUAUUUGAGACAUUAUCAUCAUGAUCAGAAGUCAGAUGCAACUACUGUUCCAAACACUGCUCAGGCAAGCUACUACAUUGCCAAAAUUAAUUACACAGCUGUUGAGAUAAACUUCAGCUCAAGCCUGCUGAUGAUAUGGGUAAGUUUGUAUAUACUUGUAGCAACCACAUAUAAAUGAAAUCCCAGUAAUACAGAAGGGCAAGUGGUACAGAAGAGUUUUCCACAUCAACUGUACCUGAUAACAAAAGCAAAUGCUAUCACCUGGAGUACAGUGCACAUAACAGUUUCUACAAGUGUAUCAUCCACAGUUAAUCUGCAAUUUUUGUCCUAAAUAUGAAUUUAAAAAGCCAAGUAUGAAUCAUAUGCAGGCAGAUUUAAUGACUCAUUGCUGCAAUGGAUUUAACCACAAGUGCUGAUCCUGC